UCUCAAAGAUUAAGCCAUGCAUGUGUAAGUGUAAAUUGUUAAGUUUGGAACUGCGAAUGGCUCAUUAUAUCAGUUAUAGUUUAUUUGGUGAAGUGUACUACUUGGAUAACCGUAGUAAUUCUAGGGCUAAUACAUGAGAAAGUCCUCUGGUGAGGUGUGUUUAUUAGAAUGAAAACCAUAUGCUUCGGCAUGAUAGUGAGUAAUAGUAACCUAUCGUAUCGCAUGCUUAAUGUAGCGAUGAGUCUUUCAAGUUUCUGCCCUAUCAGCUUUCGAUGGUAGUAUAUGGGCCUACCAUGGCAGU
This 301-nucleotide ribosomal RNA is filed under the name Blastocystis sp. Its description in RNAcentral is "SSU rRNA". It matches the Rfam family "Eukaryotic small subunit ribosomal RNA", at positions 35 to 353 of the family's 1831-position model. The record is from RNAcentral. Lineage: Eukaryota; Bigyra; Opalinata; Blastocystidae.